UGGCUCAGAGGUUAAGAGCGCUGGCUAGUCUUCCAGAGGUCCUGAGUUCAAUUCUCAG
Molecule: non-coding RNA, 58 nt
Organism: Mesocricetus auratus (golden hamster)
Lineage: Eukaryota; Metazoa; Chordata; Mammalia; Rodentia; Cricetidae
Source: Rfam